This 597-nucleotide long non-coding RNA is filed under the name Danio rerio (zebrafish). Its description in RNAcentral is "si:ch211-210k13.6 (ENSDARG00000105463.2)". The record is from RNAcentral. Lineage: Eukaryota; Metazoa; Chordata; Actinopteri; Cypriniformes; Danionidae.
UUUUUAAGAUAUUUAUUGUUAUUAUUUAUGUGACUUUUUUUUUGGGACUGUAAGAUUUGUACAUGAUAUAUUAGUUCUUUUUAUUUCUGUACAGCAGUGCAAACACUUCCAAUGUGUGUGUCCGCAUGCUGAAUGACUCUGUGUGUACGUGUGCAUCACGGAGGACAAGCGUUGACAUUAUGAUGGUGUGUACUGUGUUUUGAGUAUAUGAUGUGUCCUCGCCCACAUCUUCCUGCCCACUGCCAGUGGAUUUUAUUUAUUUAUUUAUUUAUUUUGCCCGUGCAACUAAAUGAAAAGCGUUUGCAUGUUUUGGGUGUGCAGAUCUGAGACGCUAAGAGUGUGGGAUAUGCUUGCAUGACUGUGUCUGUGUAUGCAAACAGGAUUGUUUCAGGGUGUGAAUGCUGUGUGUAUGAGUGUGUGUGUGUGUGUUGCAGAAAAAGUCGACUGGGGUGUUCGGUGUGAAAUCUGUGUCAUGUUCGAUGUUUUUAAACCCUCGAACUCCCUGAUAUUUGCUAUUGUAUGUGUUGUAACCCCCAACUAUUCUUGAGUGUCAGUCGGCUUGUUUAUAUCAUUAAAUAAAAGUGACUUUCUUUCAGA